This 245-nucleotide ribosomal RNA is filed under the name uncultured bacterium. RNAcentral's name for it is "partial 16S ribosomal RNA". It matches the Rfam family "Bacterial small subunit ribosomal RNA", at positions 524 to 768 of the family's 1533-position model. The record is from RNAcentral.
UACGUAGGUGGCGAGCGUUGUCCGGAUUUACUGGGUGUAAAGGGCGUGUAGGCGGGAUAACAAGUCAGAUGUGAAAUUCCGUGGCUUAACUGCGGGGCUGCAUCUGAAACUGUUUUUCUUGAGUGUCGGAGAGGAAAGUGGAAUUCCCAGUGUAGCGGUGAAAUGCGUAGAGAUUGGGAGGAACACCAGUGGCGAAGGCGGCUUUCUGGACGAUAACUGACGCUGAGGCGCGAAAGCGUGGGGAG